RNAcentral lists this long non-coding RNA (832 nucleotides) under Citrus sinensis (sweet orange). Its description in RNAcentral is "long non-coding RNA (CSIN_LNC002323)". Lineage: Eukaryota; Viridiplantae; Streptophyta; Magnoliopsida; Sapindales; Rutaceae. The record is from RNAcentral.
UCUUUUUCUUCUUCUCUUCACCGUGGGCGGCGCCCUCGCCGCCGCCGACACCGGGGAUCUUCUGCUUGAUCUUGUCCACCAAGCCCUCCUUGUGUUCGCCCUCCUUGUGUUCCCCGCCGUGAUGCUGCUGCUGAUGGUGAACAUCAGUAGUGCCGACACCGGGGAUCUGCUGCUUGAUCUUGUCCACCAAGCCCUCCUUGUGUUCGCCGCCGUGAUACUGCUGCUGAUGGUGGACAUCAGUAGUGUGGUGGUCCCCACUAUGGUGCUCUCCCUUGUGCUUGUCCUCCUCCUUUUGCCCUCCUCCCAUGUGAAGGGCUUCUCCGAUCUUGUGAAUAACUCCUGACAUUUUCCCUUAAAAUGACUCUGUUCCUCUUCUUUUCUUUUCAAUGAAAAAUAGUUGUUUGCGAUCUUCUUCUGGUUGUUGUUGUUCUUGUUGGGUGAUCUUGGCUUGGUAUUUAUAGGCUCCAAAAGGAGGGACUAGAAUUAGGAUUAGAUUAUAGAUUAUUUUAAUACAUUUUAUGGCAAAUUCUGAUUUGGAAAGAUAAGAUUAUCCUUUUGGUUUUCCUUAUUUACCCUUUUGCACCCAUUACGUGUACGCGUCUUCGUGGGCUUUUUGGGUAUUUCAAUUAUAUCGCCAAUGCUAAAUCGACACGUUGCAUAUCAGCCGCGGUACUGCCGUAUGUAGUUGUCCAGAAAUCGAGUCGAUUCUCGAUCGUACAAUAAUUAAAUAAUAUUUCAUACGAAAUGAGUUUAGAUAUAUUUUGAAAAUUUAUUUUUAAUUUAAUUAUACGUGUUAUAUAUUUGUUAAUCGAAUAGAGGUCCCACGUAACAG